AGCGGAGGAAAAGAAACCAACAGGGAUUGCCUCAGUAACGGCGAGUGAAGCGGCAACAGCUCAAAUUUGAAAUCUGGCCUUCGGGUCCGAGUUGUAAUUUGUAGAGGAUGUUUCGGGCGUGGUCCAGUCUAAGUUCCUUGGAACAGGGCGUCAUAGAGGGUGAGAAUCCCGUAUGCGACUGGGUGCCUAAGCUCAUGUGAAACUCCUUCAACGAGUCGAGUUGUUUGGGAAUGCAGCUCAAAAUGGGUGGUAUAUUUCAUCUAAAGCUAAAUAUUGGCCAGAGACCGAUAGCGCACAAGUAGAGUGAUCGAAAGAUGAAAAGCACUUUGGAAAGAGAGUUAAACAGUACGUGAAAUUGUUGAAAGGGAAGCGCUUGCAACCAGACUUGCACGCAGUUGAUCAUCCGGUGUUCUCACCGGUGCACUCGAUUGUGUUCAGGCCAGCAUCGGUUUCGGUGGUUGGAUAAAGGCCUUGGGAAUGUAGCUCCUCUCGGGGAGUGUUAUAGCCCUCGGUGCAAUGCAGCCUACCGGGACCGAGGACCGCGCUUCGGCUAGGAUGCUGGCGUAAUGGUUGUAAGCGACCCGUCUUGAA
This 591-nucleotide ribosomal RNA is filed under the name Collophora sp. T11-4-1. RNAcentral describes it as "eukaryotic LSU rRNA". It matches the Rfam family "Eukaryotic large subunit ribosomal RNA", at positions 49 to 658 of the family's 3401-position model. The record is from RNAcentral. Lineage: Eukaryota; Fungi; Ascomycota; Leotiomycetes.